RNAcentral lists this ribosomal RNA (207 nucleotides) under uncultured bacterium. Its description in RNAcentral is "partial 16S ribosomal RNA". It matches the Rfam family "Bacterial small subunit ribosomal RNA", at positions 568 to 774 of the family's 1533-position model. The record is from RNAcentral.
CGUGUAGGCGGCUGGGUAAGCCGCGUGUGAAAUCCCGGGGCUCAACCCCGGAACGGCACGCGGAACUGCUCGGCUCGAGAAUGGUAGAGGCGAGUGGAAUUCCUGGUGUAGCGGUGGAAUGCGUAGAGAUCAGGAAGAACACCGGUGGCGAAGGCGGCUCGCUGGGCCAUUUCUGACGCUGAGGCGCGAAAGCGUGGGGAGCAAACA